This 249-nucleotide long non-coding RNA is filed under the name Salvia miltiorrhiza (redroot sage). RNAcentral describes it as "long non-coding RNA (SMIL_LNC011050)". The record is from RNAcentral. Lineage: Eukaryota; Viridiplantae; Streptophyta; Magnoliopsida; Lamiales; Lamiaceae.
AACCCUAACCCUAAAAGCCCAUGCUCAUGUUACAGGCCUUUAGCCCAAAAUACUUGACAGGAAAAACUAAGAAUAAAUAACUGACUUAAUUAAAAAGAAAAAGAAAAGAAAACAGAUGCCACGGUCUAUCAUUAUGAGAAUUGUGGAAAUGGAUUUCGAAUUGCUUGUUUUGUGGAAAUGGAUUUGGAAUUGUGGAAAUGAAUUUCGAAAUGUAUAAACAAUAAGCUCUCAAAUGAGGAAAAGGAUUCC